RNAcentral lists this ribosomal RNA (496 nucleotides) under uncultured bacterium. Its description in RNAcentral is "partial 16S ribosomal RNA". It matches the Rfam family "Bacterial small subunit ribosomal RNA", at positions 28 to 506 of the family's 1533-position model. The record is from RNAcentral.
GAUGAACGCUGGCGGCGUGCCUAAUACAUGCAAGUCGAGCGAACAGACGAGGAGCUUGCUCCUCUGACGUUAGCGGCGGACGGGUGAGUAACACGUGGAUAACCUACCUAUAAGACUGGGAUAACUUCGGGAAACCGGAGCUAAUACCGGAUAAUAUAUUGAACCGCAUGGUUCAAUAGUGAAAGACGGUUUUGCUGUCACUUAUAGAUGGAUCCGCGCCGCAUUAGCUAGUUGGUAAGGUAACGGCUUACCAAGGCAACGAUGCGUAGCCGACCUGAGAGGGUGAUCGGCAACACUGGAACUGAGACACGGUCCAGCCUCCUACGGGAGGCAGCAGUAGGGAAUCUUCCGCAAUGGGCGAAAGCUUGACGGAGCAACGCCGCGUGAGUGAUGAAGGUCUUCGGAUCGUAAAACUCUGUUAUUAGGGAAGAACAAAUGUGUAAGUAACUAUGCACGUCUUGACGGUACCUAAUCAGAAAGCCACGGCUAACUACGU